GUGCCCGUAGUUCAGUGGAUAGAACGCGACGUUGCGGACGUCGAAGUCGGGGGUUCAAUUCCCUCCGGGCACACCA
This 76-nucleotide transfer RNA is filed under the name candidate division WWE3 bacterium RBG_16_37_10. Its description in RNAcentral is "tRNA-Arg". It matches the Rfam family "tRNA". Rfam says of the family: Transfer RNA (tRNA) molecules are approximately 80 nucleotides in length. Lineage: Bacteria; candidate division WWE3. The record is from RNAcentral.